GAUGAACGCUGGCGGCGUGCUUAACACAUGCAAGUCGAACGGAAAGGCCCAAGCUUGCUUGGGUACUCGAGUGGCGAACGGGUGAGUAACACGUGGGUGAUCUGCCCUGCACUUCGGGAUAAGCCUGGGAAACUGGGUCUAAUACCGGAUAGGACCACAUUUUGGAUGGUGUGGUGGAAAGUUUUUCGGUGUGGGGUGAGCUCGCGGCCUAUCAGCUUGUUGGUGGGGUAAUGGCCUACCAAGGCGUCGACGGGUAGCCGGCCUGAGAGGGUGUACGGCCACAUUGGGACUGAGAUACGGCCCAGACUCCUACGGGAGGCAGCAGUGGGGAAUAUUGCACAAUGGGCGCAAGCCUGAUGCAGCGACGCCGCGUGGGGGAUGACGGCCUUCGGGUUGGAAACUCCUUUCGCUAGGGACGAAGCGUUAUGUGACGGUACCUGGAGAAGAAGCACCGGCUAACUACGUG
RNAcentral lists this ribosomal RNA (466 nucleotides) under uncultured bacterium. Its description in RNAcentral is "partial 16S ribosomal RNA". It matches the Rfam family "Bacterial small subunit ribosomal RNA", at positions 28 to 507 of the family's 1533-position model. The record is from RNAcentral.